Molecule: ribosomal RNA, 1022 nt
Filed under: Nesterenkonia sandarakina
Lineage: Bacteria; Bacillati; Actinomycetota; Actinomycetes; Micrococcales; Micrococcaceae
Description: bacterial SSU rRNA
Rfam family: Bacterial small subunit ribosomal RNA
Source: RNAcentral
CGGGUGUAAACCGCUUUCAGCAGGGAAGAAGCGCAAGUGACGGUACCUGCAGAAGAAGCGCCGGGCUAACUACGUGCAAGCAGCCGCGGUAAUACGUAGGGCGCGAGCGUUAUCCGGAAUUAUUGGGCGUAAAGAGCUCGUAGGCGGUUUGUCACGUCUGCUGUGAAAGCCCGGGGCUCAACCCCGGGUGUGCAGUGGGUACGGGCAGACUAGAGUGCAGUAGGGGAGACUGGAAUUCCUGGUGUAGCGGUGAAAUGCGCAGAUAUCAGGAGGAACACCGAUGGCGAAGGCAGGUCUCUGGGCUGUUACUGACGCUGAGGAGCGAAAGCAUGGGGAGCGAACAGGAUUAGAUACCCUGGUAGUCCAUGCCGUAAACGUUGGGCACUAGGUGUGGGGAACAUUCCACGUUUUCCGCGCCGUAGCUAACGCAUUAAGUGCCCCGCCUGGGGAGUACGGCCGCAAGGCUAAAACUCAAAGGAAUUGACGGGGGCCCGCACAAGCGGCGGAGCAUGCGGAUUAAUUCGAUGCAACGCGAAGAACCUUACCAAGGCUUGACAUGGACCGGACCGCUGCAGAGAUGCAGCUUCCCUUCGGGGUCGGUUCACAGGUGGUGCAUGGUUGUCGUCAGCUCGUGUCGUGAGAUGUUGGGUUAAGUCCCGCAACGAGCGCAACCCCUAUCCUAUGUUGCCAGCACGUCAUGGUGGGGACUCAUGGGAGACUGCCGGGGUCAACUCGGAGGAAGGUGGGGACGACGUCAAAUCAUCAUGCCCCUUAUGUCUUGGGCUUCACGCAUGCUACAAUGGCCGGUACAAUGGGUUGCGAUACUGUGAGGUGGAGCUAAUCCCUAAAAGCCGGUCUCAGUUCGGAUCGAAGUCUGCAACUCGACUUCGUGAAGUUGGAGUCGCUAGUAAUCGCAGAUCAGCAACGCUGCGGUGAAUACGUUCCCGGGCCUUGUACACACCGCCCGUCAAGUCACGAAAGUGGGUAACACCCGAAGCCGGUGGCCUAACCCUUGUGGGGGA